This 497-nucleotide ribosomal RNA is filed under the name uncultured bacterium. Its description in RNAcentral is "partial 16S ribosomal RNA". It matches the Rfam family "Bacterial small subunit ribosomal RNA", at positions 28 to 507 of the family's 1533-position model. The record is from RNAcentral.
GAUGAACGCUGGCGGCGUGCCUAAUACAUGCAAGUCGAGCGAACAGACGAGGAGCUUGCUCCUCUGACGUUAGCGGCGGACGGGUGAGUAACACGUGGAUAACCUGCCUAUAAGACUGGGAUAACUUCGGGAAACCGGAGCUAAUACCGGAUAAUAUAUUGAACCGCAUGGUUCAAUAGUGAAAGACGGUUUUGCUGUCACUUAUAGAUGGAUCCGCGCCGCAUUAGCUAGUUGGUAAGGUAACGGCUUACCAAGGCGACGAUGCGUAGCCGACCUGAGAGGGUGAUCGGCCACACUGGAACUGAGACACGGUCAAGACUCCUACGGGAGGCAGCAGUAGGGAAUCGUCCGCAAUGGGCGAAAGCCUGACGGAGCAACGCCGCGUGAGUGAUGAAGGUCUUCGGAUCGUAAAACUCUGUUAUUAGGGAAGAACAAAUGUGUAAGUAACUAUGCACGUCUUGACGGUACCUAAUCAGAAAGCCACGGCUAACUACGUG